This 775-nucleotide ribosomal RNA is filed under the name uncultured bacterium. RNAcentral describes it as "bacterial SSU rRNA". It matches the Rfam family "Bacterial small subunit ribosomal RNA", at positions 718 to 1505 of the family's 1533-position model. The record is from RNAcentral.
AAGGCAGCCCGCCAGCCCGCUACUGACGUUGAGGCUCGAAGGUGCGGGUAUCGAACAGGAUUAGAUACCCUGGUAGUCCGCACGGUAAACGAUGGACACCCGCCGUGGGCGACAUACAGUCCGCGGCCAAGCGAAAGCGUUAAGUGUCCCGCCUGGGGAGUACGCCGGCAACGGUGAAACUCAAAGGAAUUGACGGGGGCCCGCACAAGCGGAGGAACAUGUGGUUUAAUUCGAUGAUACGCGAGGAACCUUACCCGGGCUCGAACCUCCCCCGAAUCCGGCGGAGACGCCGGAGCCAGCAAUGGCGGGGGCGGAGGUGCUGCAUGGUUGUCGUCAGCUCGUGCCGUGAGGUGUCGGCUUAAGUGCCAUAACGAGCGCAACCCCUCCCUCCAGUUGCCAUCGGGUAAUGCCGGGGACUCUGGAGGCACUGCCAUCGCAAGAUGCGAGGAAGGCGGGGAUGACGUCAAAUCAGCACGGCCCUUACGUCCGGGGCUACACACGUGUUACAAUGGGGGGUACAGAGGGCCGCUGCACGGCGACGUGCGGCCAAUCCCUAAAUCCCCUCCCAGUUCGGACCGGAGUCUGGAACCCGACUCCGCGAAGCUGGAUUCGCUAGUAAUCGCGCAUCAGCCAUGGCGCGGUGAAUACGUUCCCGGGCCUUGUACACACCGCCCGUCAAGCCAUGAAAGCCGGGGGUGCNNNAAGUGCGCUUCCGCGAGGGGCGCCCUAGGGUAAAACCGGUGAUUGGGGCUAAGUGGUAACAAGGUAGCCGUAA